Rhopalosiphum padi (bird cherry-oat aphid) is the source of this 4259-nucleotide long non-coding RNA. RefSeq lists it as uncharacterized. The record is from RefSeq and is a predicted model, not a curated record. The transcript has 4 exons. Lineage: Eukaryota; Metazoa; Arthropoda; Insecta; Hemiptera; Aphididae.
UCCGUCAUUCGUACAUUCGAUAUUGACAAUUAACAUUUCACGCCAAAUAUCCGUUGAGAGAACUCAGUGCAUACUGAAUAGGUAUUUAUUUAACAGUUAUCUAGUUGUUACCAGUGUCUUAAAAAGGUUAUUGAUUUAAAUACAUCAGUACAUCACUUACCUGAUGGUGUAUUGUAGCUAUACCUUUUACCAGUUGUACCUAUAUUGGUCGUUUUGUGUUUUUAAAUUUUUUUAAAUGAGCCAUGCUUUUCGUUUAAAAAGCUUGAAUAUUUUGAUGAUCACAGUACGUUUCAAGCAGUGUUAUUCAUUUAACAAUUAAUAUUUAGUGGGUAGAAGUGUUUUCAAAAGGUUUAUGAUUGAACAAUAUCACUUUGCUGUAUCUACCUGAUGGUGUAUUGUAGCUAUACUCUAUACUUAUAUUGGUUGUUUUGUGUUUUCAAAUCGUUUUAAAUGAGCCAUGCUUUUUGUUUAAAAAGCUUGAAUAUUUUGAUGAUCACAGUAUGUUUCAAGCAGUGUUAUUCAUUUAACAAUUAAUAUUUAGUGGGUAGAAGUGUUUUCAAAAGGUUUAUGAUUGAACAAUAUCACUUUGCUGUAUCUACCUGAUGGUGUAUUGUAGCUAUACUCUAUACUUAUAUUGGUUGUUUUGUGUUUUCAAAUCGUUUUAAAUGAGCCAUGCUUUUUGUUUAAAAAGCUUGAAUAUUUUGAUGAUCACAGUAUGUUUCAAGCAGUGUUAUUCAUUUAACAAAUAUUUAGUGGGUAGAAGUGUUUUCAAAAGGUUUAUGAUUAAACUACACCACUUUGCUGUAUCUACCUGAUGGUGUAUUGUAACUAGAUAUUUUUGUAAGUUAAUUUUUAAAAAUGCUUUGUUGUUUAUGUAAAUUUAAUGCUGAUAAUUGGAAAUCUUUAGUUUAUCAUUUUAAAAUUUUUCAUUUACUUAAAACUGAUAGUAAUUAUACAUGUUGUGAAGGGACUUGUACACAAUCUUUUCUAUGCUUAGCUUCAUUUAAACGACAUAUUCAACAUAAACAUUUCCCUGAAAACAUCCCAUCAAAUAAUCAACCACAAGACCAAUCAUAUGUCAAUUCUUCAUUACUACCACACAAUAUUGAAAACUUAAUUGAUGAUAAUGUUUUAACUGAUAAUUUAACUAAUAAUUAGUGUUGGCCAACGAUAUAAUUUUCAAUAUCGAUAUCGUAUUUUUUCCCCCGAUAUCGUAUUGCGAUAUCAGAAAAAUACCGAUAUCGAUAUUGAAGCAUAUUAAAAAUUUAAAACAUUAAAAGUGUAGAAUGCAUAUUAUAUUACGAGUGUAUUGAAAGUAUAUUAAAAGUAUAGAAUACAUAUUGUUUUAAUAUUAUAUUAUGAGUGUAAAUUAAUUAUUAAUUAACAAUUAUAUAUUAUUUUUUAAAUUUCUUCUUCGAGCAGUUUUUCCAUCAAUGUUUCAGAACUUGGGUUCGAUUUGAAAUAUGAAUUCAAAAAUAACAGUUGAUUGAGUCGUUCAGGAGAUAAUCUAUUUCUUUUCUUGGAAAUGAUUGUUCCAGCUUCGCUAAAUAACCGUUCACAGGGAACACUAGUGGCCACUAUACUUAAGUACUUUUUGGCUAGUAAUGAUACAGCUGAGUAUUUAGAUUCGUUUUCUUUCCAUCAAUUUAAAGGAUCUUGAUCGUAGGGAACUUUGAUUUUCAAAUUUUUAUACUCUUCAAGUUGUUUCAUCUUAGGACUUUGAGUUACCGAAUAGUCGUCUUCGUCAUCAUCAUCGCUAUCUAUCAUUAAUAGUGUUGGCCAACGAUAUAAUUUUCAAUAUCGAUUGAUUAAUAUCGCCUCGUAUCAUAAUCUACGUUUUUAUCUUUAUUAUAUCUGUCAGAUCUGUCCAUUCAUUAAUCAAAAUUAUUGAAAAAAUACCCACGAUAUCGUUAUCGUAUCGAAUUAUCGAUAUCGUUGGCCAACACUACUAAUAAUACAUUUGAUUUUGAUCUAGUUAGUAAAUCUCUAUAUAAAUCUGCAAUAGAAUUUGUUGUAAACUUGCAUAAUAAUAAUAAUUUUACUAGAGCAGACAUUACCAAUAUUCAAACUGGUAUAUUAAAUAAAAUAAUUAAACCAAUUGUAUCCAUGCUGAAGAAUGUAGUAGAUGAUGAAAUUAAAGAACCAAUUAAGGUUGCUAAAUUUCAUAGACUUGCUUCUGUUAUAGAAAAUCCUUUUUUAUAUUGUAACACUGAGUAUCGCUUAGUAAAUUGGCUUAUAAAGAAUGAACUGUUAUUUAAAAUAAAUUAAUUUACCAUUAAUAAUGAAAUUUUCCCUGUACACUACAAUGGUGAAUCUGUCUAUAAUGAAAAAAUCACUAAAGGUGUUCUCUUACCUUUACAAUUUCAGUUUAAAAAAUUCUUUGAAAAUGGAGAUAAUUUUAAAGAACAGUAUACUCGGUUAAAUUACUAUAAAAACAAUCAAAGUACUUCUAUUGAACAUUUUGUUCAAGGAAGUCUUUGGCAACAAAAAGUUUCUCUAUUUUCUAAUGAAAAGAUAAUAUUUCCAUUUUUUUUAUACAUGGAUGAAUUUGAAAUAAAUAAUCCCUUAGGCUCACAUGCUACAUUUCAGUCAAUUUCAGCUCUAUAUUAUAGUUUUCCAUUAUCAGAAAACAAUUCAAAAUUAUCAACUAUAUUUUUAGCUGCACUAGUAAAACACAUUGAUAUUAAAUCAUUUGGUAAUGAUAAAUGUUUACAAAGUCUAGUAAACGAAAUAAAUAUACUUGAAAAUGAAGGGAUAGAUAUUAAAACUCAAGAUGGUGAUUUUCAUGUUAAUUUUGUCCUAGGCAUAGUUCUUGGAGAUAAUUUGGGUCUAAAUAGCUUAUUAGAAUUUAGUAAAUCUUUCUCUGCAAACUUUUUUGUCGUUUUUGUAAAGCUUCUAAAGCUUCAACUAUAACAAUGCUUGAAGAAGAUUUGAGUUUUUUGCGCAAUGCACACAAUUAUUCUGAUGAUGUUACUAGUAUGAAUUUUGCAGAGACAGGGGUUUAUCAAGAAUCAUUAUUAAAUCAAGUAACUGGGUUCCACGUCACACAAAAUUUUUCUAUAGAUAUAAUGCAUGAUUUGUUUGAGGGUGUUUGUCACUAUGAUUUGUGUAACAUAAUCAAGUAUUAUAUUACUGCUAAAUUGUUUUCACUUGAAACUUUAAACAAUCGUAAAAUGAAUUUUAAUUAUGGACCCAUUGAAAUAGGUAACAUUUCACCUCCCAUAAAAAUGAUUCAUUUAGAAAAAAAAACAUUUAAAAAUGUCAGCUAGGGAAGUUAUGACCUUUGUUCAUUUUUUUCCCCUUAUGGUAGGAGAUCUUAUCCCUGAAAAUGAUGAAGUUUGGAACCUUUUUCUUUUAUUAAUUCAAAUUAUAGACAUUCUUCUAUCAUAUACCUUUACUGAUAGUGCGAUUUCCCAUCUUAAAAAAUUAAUUUCUUAUCAUAAUUCUAUGUAUAUAACACUUUUCAAUGACACCUUAAAACCGAAACAUCACUUUUUGAUCCACUAUCCAACAAUAAUAACGAAUUCAGGCCCGGCCCUCCUAGACAUUAUUGGUGUUUUCGUUACGAAGGUAAACAUAAAGAAUUAAAGAUGUAUGCUAGGUCAACAACUUCCAGGAAAAAUAUUACGCUAACUUUAGCAAAAAAAAUGCAAUUAAAAUUUGCCCAUAGUCUUAUGAUAUUAUCUGAUAAAAAAAUUAUUGUGAAUGAUAAACACAAAAUUCAAAGUAAUUAUACAGAAAAUAUAAAUAAUGAACUCAAUGUAAUUGCGUUAGACUAUGUCUGUUAUACUGAGCUAAAAUUAAACGGAAUUGUGUACAAAGCCGGUUAUUUUUUAACAAAAAAUUGUAAUAAAAUAUGUUUAUUUAAAAUAUGUGAAAUGUUGUUAGUUAAUAGACAAGAUGGUAAAGUUUAUGUUUUGGCUAAUGAAAUAAAGUUAAACGAUUUUAACUCUCAUUAUGAAUCUUUUAGUGUAGAUUAUAGCGAAGAAGUGGUUAAUCAUGGUUUUAUUUGUAAUGUAGAUGAAUUUAGUGGACCUCCAAUAAAUAUUACUAAAAUAUCAUCAGGUCAAAAAAUGAUCCGUCUAAAAGAGUUUUAUUAAUUAAUUACAUUUAUUGAAUAUAAUUAUUUGGGUAUAUUAUUUAUUUUUAUUAAAUAACUAUGCUUUAAACAAAUUAUAAAUGUAUUAUAUUUAAAAUUGAAAUGUUGUAUUUAGAGCUGUACAUUAUUUUUAUUUUUUUUAAAUUAUAGAUUCUGUGUU